UUUGUUACAUUUGAGCUGAGAGGAACUGAAAUCAUCUCAGUUCUGCGUGAAUGAGGAAUGGGAAAAUCUGCAUGGACCUUCUGCACAGGAGUCCCUCAUCUCCUGUCCCAGGCCACUUACACAACACCAAAAAGGAAGGUCAAGAUUCAAAGGACUUACAAGUGAAAAAAGAGAAGGAAGAAGAGAGGGUUUUUUGAUAGUCUGGAACAAGGCAAAUGAAAACAGAAGGAGACAGCAUUUGCCUGGCUCCUCCGGACUGACUGCUAAUCGUUGGAGUUGUUCUUCGGGAGCUGUGGGAAAGAGAACUUACAGAGAGGAACUGCUUCAACAGGCAAUAUCAAGAGAGGCCUGACCCCGAAGAACUCUAGCAGAGAAAGUGCUUCUUUAGGAGCUGUGUGGAUGACAGUGCCCUGAGUUGAAUGAACAUAAAGCAACAACAUGGGUAAGUGUUGUA
This 454-nucleotide long non-coding RNA is filed under the name Dromaius novaehollandiae (emu). RNAcentral describes it as "lncRNA (ENSDNVG00000015305.1)". Lineage: Eukaryota; Metazoa; Chordata; Aves; Casuariiformes; Dromaiidae. The record is from RNAcentral.